RNAcentral lists this ribosomal RNA (257 nucleotides) under uncultured bacterium. RNAcentral's name for it is "partial 16S ribosomal RNA". It matches the Rfam family "Bacterial small subunit ribosomal RNA", at positions 79 to 339 of the family's 1533-position model. The record is from RNAcentral.
UGCUCUCUGAUGGCGAGUGGCGAACGGGUGAGUAACAUAUCGGAACGUGCCUAGUAAUGGGGAAUAACUAAUCGAAAGAUUAGCUAAUACCGCAUACGACCUACGGGUGAAAGCAGGGGAUCGUAAGACCUUGCGUUAAUGGAGCGGCCGAUAUCUGAUUAGGUAGUUGGUGGGGUAAAGGCCUACCAAGCCGACGAUCAGUAGCUGGUCUGAGAGGACGAUCAGCCACACUGGGACUGAGACACGGCCCAGACUCC